UACGGAGGGUGCAAGCGUUGUUCGGAAUUAUUGGGCGUAAAGCGCGUGCAGGCGGCCGUUUAAGUCUGAUGUGAAAGCCCCGGGCUCAACCUGGGAAGUGCAUCGGAUACUGGAUGGCUUGAGUACGGGAGAGGGAAGCGGAAUUCCGAGUGUAGGGGUGAAAUCCGUAGAUAUUCGGAGGAACACCAGUGGCGAAGGCGGCUUCCUGGACCGAUACUGACGCUGAGACGCGAAAGCGUGGGGAGCAAAC
This 250-nucleotide ribosomal RNA is filed under the name uncultured bacterium. Its description in RNAcentral is "partial 16S ribosomal RNA". It matches the Rfam family "Bacterial small subunit ribosomal RNA", at positions 524 to 773 of the family's 1533-position model. The record is from RNAcentral. RNAcentral also lists the same sequence under 1 other name.